Long non-coding RNA from Drosophila navojoa, 530 nucleotides. NCBI's taxonomy places the organism in Eukaryota, Metazoa, Arthropoda, Insecta, Diptera, Drosophilidae. The record is from RefSeq and is a predicted model, not a curated record.
UUAUCUGAUGAACUAUCCUUAUUCAGGAUUCCCUCUUCUGAGUAGAACCCAUUAAAAACCAUGCGGUCAAGUCUCCCUGUCUGAACACAAUCCUAAAUUAUAUUAUUUAAUGUAUAUAUUUUAGGCGAAACUAAAUGAAUUUUCUUUAUUUACAGCUCUAACUGCGCUUUGCCUUCGAUAUGCAGCUUUUGGAGUGAAGUUUGACUUAUCAGAAAGGUAAGUUUACUAGAUAUUUGUAGCAUAGACUAUAUAUUGCCUGAUGAACUAUCCUUAUUCAGGAUUCCCUCUUCUGAGUAGAACCCAUUAAAAACCAUGCGGUCAAGUCUCCCUGUCUGAUCAAAUUUAAAAAAAUAGCUUUCCAUGCUUAAUCCAACAAAUUGUUAAUAAUUUACAAACUAUAUUUGCAGCUGGCUAUAUCUAUUUGCCUUUUUCGAUAUCCAGGACAGCUUUGAAGAGAUUACAAUUACCCGGCUGACCACUGACUCCUUAUAAAUACUUUGAGUACAACUGAAUAAAAACAAUUGAAAAAU